AGUGAACGCUGGCGGUAGGCCUAACACAUGCAAGUCAAACGGCAGCACAGUAAGAGCUUGCUCUUACGGGUGGCGAGUGGCGGACGGGUGAGGAAUACAUCGGAAUCUACUUUUUCGUGGGGGAUAACGUAGGGAAACUUACGCUAAUACCGCAUACGACCUACGGGUGAAAGCAGGGGAUCUUCGGACCUUGCGCGAUUGAAUGAGCCGAUGUCGGAUUAGCUAGUUGGCGGGGUAAAGGCCCACCAAGGCGACGAUCCGUAGCUGGUCUGAGAGGAUGAUCAGCCACACUGGAAAUGAGACACGGUCCAGACUCCUACGGGAGGCAGCAGUGGGGAAUAUUGGACAAUGGGCGCAAGCCUGAUCCAGCCAUACCGCGUGGGUGAAGAAGGCCUUCGGGUUGUAAAGCCCUUUUGUUGGGAAAGAAAAGCAGCAGGUUAAUACCCCGCUGUUCUGACGGUACCCAAAGAAUAAGCACCGGCUAACUUCGUG
RNAcentral lists this ribosomal RNA (492 nucleotides) under uncultured bacterium. Its description in RNAcentral is "partial 16S ribosomal RNA". It matches the Rfam family "Bacterial small subunit ribosomal RNA", at positions 29 to 507 of the family's 1533-position model. The record is from RNAcentral.